This 208-nucleotide ribosomal RNA is filed under the name uncultured bacterium. RNAcentral describes it as "partial 16S ribosomal RNA". It matches the Rfam family "Bacterial small subunit ribosomal RNA", at positions 568 to 775 of the family's 1533-position model. The record is from RNAcentral.
CGCGUAGGCGGCCUGCUAAGUCGAACGUGAAAUCCCUGGGCUCAACCCAGGAACUGCGUCCGAUACUGGUUGGCUUGAAUCCGGGAGAGGGAUGUGGAAUUCCAGGUGUAGCGGUGAAAUGCGUAGAUAUCGGGAGGAACACCGGUGGCGAAGGCGGGACUCUGGGCCUACCCUGACGCUGAGGCGCGAAGGCGUGGGGAGGCAAACG